This 433-nucleotide ribosomal RNA is filed under the name uncultured bacterium. Its description in RNAcentral is "partial 16S ribosomal RNA". It matches the Rfam family "Bacterial small subunit ribosomal RNA", at positions 29 to 507 of the family's 1533-position model. The record is from RNAcentral.
AGCGAACGCUGGCGGCAGGCCUAACACAUGCAAGUCGAACGAACUCUUCGGAGUUAGUGGCGGACGGGUGAGUAACACGUGGGAACGUGCCUUUUGGUUCGGAAUAACUCAGGGAAACUUGUGCUAAUACCGAAUGUGCCCUUCGGGGGAAAGAUUUAUCGCCAUUAGAGCGGCCCGCGUCUGAUUAGCUAGUUGGUGAGGUAACGGCUCACCAAGGCGACGUUCAGUAGCUGGUCUGAGAGGAUGACCAGCCACACUGGGACUGAGACACGGCCCAGACUCCUACGGGAAGCAGCAGUGGGGAAUCUUGCGCAAUGGGCGAAAGCCUGACGCAGCCAUGCCGCGUGAAUGAUGAAGGUCUUAGGAUUGUAAAAUUCUUUCACCGGGGACGAUAAUGACGGUACCCGGAGAAGAAGCCCCGGCUAACUUCGUG